Molecule: ribosomal RNA, 499 nt
Filed under: uncultured bacterium
Lineage: Bacteria
Description: partial 16S ribosomal RNA
Rfam family: Bacterial small subunit ribosomal RNA
Source: RNAcentral
GACGAACGCUGGCGGCGUGCCUAAUACAUGCAAGUCGAGCGAAGUUUUUCUGGUGCUUGCACCGGAAAAACUUAGCGGCGAACGGGUGAGUAACACGUAAAGAACCUGCCUCAUAGACUGGGACAACUAUUGGAAACGAUAGCUAAUACCGGAUAAUAGCAUUAACUGCAUGGUUGAUGUUUAAAAGUUGGUUUUGCUAACACUAUGAGAUGGCUUUGCGGUGCAUUAGCUAGUUGGUGGGGUAAAGGCCUACCAAGGCGACGAUGCAUAGCCGACCUGAGAGGGUGAUCGGCCACACUGGGACUGAGACACGGCCCAGACUCCUACGGGAGGCAGCAGUAGGGAAUCUUCCGCAAUGGGCGAAAGCCUGACGGAGCAACGCCGCGUGAGUGAAGAAGGAUUUCGGUUCGUAAAGCUCUGUUGUUAGGGAAGAAUGAUUGUGUAGUAACGAUACACAGUAGAGACGGUACCUAACCAGAAAGCCACGGCUAACUACGUG